This 1040-nucleotide long non-coding RNA is filed under the name Marmota monax (woodchuck). The record is from RNAcentral. Lineage: Eukaryota; Metazoa; Chordata; Mammalia; Rodentia; Sciuridae.
AUAUUUAAAUGCCAGCAUGUGACAUUUAUUAAGAGUUGAAAAAAAAUCUCAAGAGCUAUAACACCUUAAAAAAUACUCUAAUGAUUUUUUUUUUUUGAAAUUUGAAGCAAAGUGAAGUUAUUUACUGAGUUGUUCAUGGUAAUUAAGAAGCAAUUUAUCUGUUGUAAGCUAUAUUUAUGUAUUUUUCCAAUGAAGAAAGCAUGCGAAUUAUGAAAUUCAAAUGAUUAACAUCAUAUAUAGAUUUAAAAGCAAAUCUGAAUAGAAAUUAUUUCUGUCCUUGGAUGACAAUUUUUCACUUUAAAGUUGGUUAUUGUACUACUAAAGGAAUCCACCUAUAUAAAAUCAAAGUUGGAACAAGUUACAGUUUUAAUCUGAAAAGUUUCUUAAUUUUUAAAAGGCAAAGUCACACUGUGUUCCAUUAUGGUGUUAAUAAAUUGCUUUUUAAAAAGAAUUACAUUUAGAAAAAUGUGCCUGUCCACACCUUUUAAGAAGCACAGCUAUUAGAAUAGCAAAUGAUUUUUGAAUUACUAUUUAGGACACAUUAGCAGAUUGUGUUCAAAGCUUGACAACACUCUGAUGGAGGACCAUUCAAUUUUAGAUUCGCAACUCACAGUCUCCCACAAAUGUGUCAACUAGAAAUUGCUGAGACACCCUUUCCCUGCCAGUAGGAAGAAAAUCUGGGCUGGACCUUCUGGGCCCCAGAAGGGCAGUACAGGAUGUGGACCUCUAGGUUCCUGGGUUCAAAUCUUCCUAUGGCCACUUCUUAGCUGAGAGAUUGUAAGCCAGUUACUCGGUUUUUCUAUGUCCCAAUUUCUUCAUCAGCAACUGGGGACUAAUGUUCCCUUCUUUUUAAGUUUGUAGGGUGAUUAAAUCAAUUGAUGCGAAGUGUUUAUGAUUGCACUUAGUAGAUCCUCAAGAGAUAGAAGCAAUUACUAUUGUUGAUUUGUAAAUCUCUUUCCAAGGAAUUUGUAUGAAUCAAGGGUUAUUUUGUUGUUUGAUAUCUUCUUAGUACAUUCAGACUCUUCUGUAGAGCAAACACU